GUGCCAGCCGCCGCGGUAAUACCGGCAGCCCGAGUGAUGGCCGAUGUUAUUGGGCCUAAAGCGUCCGUAGCUGGCUGCGCAAGUCCGUCGGGAAAUCCACUCGCCCAACGAGUGGGCGUCCGACGGAAACUGCACAGCUUGGGACCGGAAGGCUCGAAGGGUACGUUCGGGGUAGGAGUGAGAUCCCAUGAUCCCGCACGGACCACCGAUGGCGAAAGCACUUCGAGAAAACGGAUCCGACAGUGAGGGACGAAAGCUAAGAUCGCGAACCGGAUUAGAAACCCCGGUAGUCC
This 293-nucleotide ribosomal RNA is filed under the name uncultured bacterium. Its description in RNAcentral is "partial 16S ribosomal RNA". It matches the Rfam family "Archaeal small subunit ribosomal RNA", at positions 455 to 747 of the family's 1478-position model. The record is from RNAcentral.